CCAGAGCUGACAGGAGGCCCUGGGCUGCAGGGGAGGGGCGGCUCCGGCGCUGCAGCCGCAAACAGAGCCGAGUCAAGCUGAGUCAAGCGGAGGAGCUGCUGACUACCUUGUAUACGGUACAAAAACAGUCAAAUAAAGAAAAAGAUGUGUCCAAACUUAUGACUGGUGGGUUGCCAGGACCGGUGGACAUUUGCCAGGCCCUGGAGAGGGAACGUGGAACCCCCACCUGUCCUCCUGAGCACCUGUACAUUCCCACGGGAAUAAGGGAUCAGCUGCUGACCUGGGCACACACAGCUGUGAUUGCUGGACAUUCACUAUUCAAAAUAUCUCCGAAAAGUACUGGUGGCCCACCUUGACGCAGGACGUGACUCGCUACAUCAACUCUUGUUACGUCGCUGAGGCACUGUUCCAGCAGGUCUUUUGGCACUAUGGCUUUCCAGAGGACAUCGUCUCCGACCGUGGCCCCCAAUUCACGUCACGGGUAUCCAAAUAUCAUCCGAGAUAUCCACCUUCGCCUGUACUGUCACGUCAACCACCGGUCCUGGCAACCCAUCAUUACGCACACCUGGCAACCCUAAUUACACACACUUGUGCCCCAUCAUGAGGCACACCUGGACUCUAUCAUUACCCUGAUCACUCCCCCUGUAUCUAGCAGUCCCUAGCAUCACUCUUCAAGAAGUAUUGGUCUGUGUCCAGACGUUUAUUUUGUAUUGCUUUAUGUUCAUUAUUAAUCUCAGCACCUGCUUCCUGACUCCCAGCGCCAUCGUGACAGUAGUGACUGGGUGUAUUGAUACUCCAUACAAAGUGUAAUUAAUACAUUCACCAUGCUCAAAAGGAUGUUAUAUGUCUGCUU
Long non-coding RNA from Oncorhynchus mykiss (rainbow trout), 853 nucleotides. RefSeq lists it as uncharacterized. The record is from RefSeq and is a predicted model, not a curated record. Lineage: Eukaryota; Metazoa; Chordata; Actinopteri; Salmoniformes; Salmonidae.